Anolis carolinensis (green anole) is the source of this 2651-nucleotide long non-coding RNA. RefSeq lists it as uncharacterized. NCBI's taxonomy places the organism in Eukaryota, Metazoa, Chordata, Lepidosauria, Squamata, Anolidae. The record is from RefSeq and is a predicted model, not a curated record. The transcript has 2 exons.
CCGGGAAGCCCAAUCCCGGCGCAGGGCUGGCGGGCCAGCAGAGCCAAGGGGCGGGGCCGAAGCGCUCUGCCCAGCCGAGGAGGGGCGGUACCAAGCGGAGAAGUGACACUCCCGGCGUGCAAUCCCGUUGCGACCCCGGCGAUCUGGAUUGAAAAGAAAAAUAAUCAUUGACAAUAAAUCUUCACCAUCACAUCAUCCAAGCAGUUGACUAGAAGACAGUUUUUGGAUAAGGACAUUUCUAUGCUGCUAUCUAGUGUAACUCUUUCAAGAGGAACCGCUACCACCAUCAAGAAAAAAAUAUCACAUGUAUCGCACAAUCUGUUCCAGGCUCAAACCGUCAUGUGCCUAAAUUGAUGCUUUGGCUAGGGGAGCUGCAGCUAUCCCAUUCUAACAACAUUCAUACAUUAUACACAGGUCAAAUAUUUCCUUUGCCCAUUCACUAACAAGUGGCUUCAUUGUUUGUUUAAAUAUGAACCGGGGGGGGGGGGGGGGUAAUAAUCUGUGCGUUUAGACCUCAAAGUGGUAGUACUAUGUUACUGUAGAAAAUAAUUGCCUUCCUCAACAAGUAGCCAGAAAAUAUGACUUCAGAAUCUAUAUGCAUUCACUGAACAACGUUACUAGUGAUGUGAUGAGUUAUUGCUUUCAUACCAGAAAUACAUCCACAUACAGAUUUUCUGCCCUGCCGUUGUCCGUGUCGCUGCCCCGCAUUUUCCAAAAAGGCUACCCUUUGCUGCAGUUCUUCCCUUUGGAGGAACAGGGGAGAACCUGAUGGCAACUAUAUGCCGCCCCCCGCGCCACAAUCAAAGCCCUCCCAUCAGGUGGCCAUGCCGCCUCUGCUGAAAAACCUCCAGAGAAGGAGACUCCACCAGACUCUAAGGACCUUUCUAGACAGGGCCCUAAAUGCGGGCCCUGUUUGACUUUUACCGGAGGCAUCCAAAUUUCACCUCUGGUAAAAGAGGAUUAAUUCAGGACAAAGUAGGUAAACCGGAAAGGCCUGGGUUAAAUGGAGUAUGGGCACUGUGAGGACUAACUACUGGCAGUCUUGCGACUAGCCAGGGUUCAGUCCCCACAGUCCAUCCUGGUUCUUCGGGCUGCAUGAGCCCAGAGAACAGAGAAGGCCACCCCCCUCCCCAUCCCCCCAAAAGCCCUUAGAAUAAGAAAAAAACCUACUGGGCUCCCAUGACUUCUCUCCAGAAGCCUCCUGGCACAUAGAAAUUACGCACCAAGAGGCAGGGGGACUAAAUCACUCUUCCCCCUGCUUCCUGGUGCUUCAUUUCUACGUGCCAGGAGGCCUCUGGAGAGGCAUCAUGGCAACCAGGUAAGUUUUCUUGUAAUUUAAGGGCAUUUGGGGUUUUUUUUUGUGGGUUAUUUAUUUUGUGUCAAAAGCAUUGCAUAACAAAAUACAUUUUAAAAUGAUUUUUAAAAAGGAAAUCACAAGCACCUAAAUAGUUUUAGAUCAAAAGCGGGCAACAGCAACCGCAUUGUCCGUAGCUUUAAGCAACUCCUCCUCUGUACAUGAGGCAGGACAUUGUGGGCAAGCAUACAUACAUAUGUGGAGUUGUUUGUUCUGCUCCACAGUCACACAAGGUGGAGGAUUCCUCCAGGUAGUGCCAUCUUGCCAGGUUGUCUUUUGAUCUGCCCACUCAACUUCUGAGUCUGUUCAGAGACUUCCAAGUUGCCCAUUCUUGGUUUGCCCCUGGAGGAGGACCCUCAUGGGGGGCCAUCCAGUUAGAAUUGCCAGGUUUAGCUGCCCAGAGGGACACCCUUGCUGCUGCUGGAGGAACAUCAAGAGGAAUGGUGGUUCUCAUGAAGCCCUUCCUUGAUUUGAGUCUGGUAGGCUCCAUGUUACUGUGGUACUUGUGAUGGCAUGGGGACAGCCUGCUGGGAAAGCCCAGGUUUUAGGGAGAGGUGUGGGACAGAAAUGCAUGCCAAAGCAAGAACCCACUUUGAUGUGCAUUUCUGUGAAGUAUGGAAGUGUCCUGAGGCAGCAUAUGCCAUUGUCUGGAACAACUUGAAGGCACACAAUGAAAACCAUAGUAAUUAACUUGAUGGGGUUUUUUGCACUACAAAUAAGACAUACGGUAUGCAGUGUGCAUAGGACUUGGUUCAUUUUUUCCCCAAACUAUAGUCUGGUCCCUCAACAGGCUUAGGGACCAUGAAUUGGCCCUCAGAUUAAAACUAUUGGACACCCCUGCCUUAAAAGAAGUUCUCCAAAUAAUAGCAAACUAGAGAGCUUGGCCUUGACACAAGAAUGUUUGAUUCAUUAUAUUAAAAGACUCAUUCCAUUCCACAUUUGGACUUCGUAUGCUUGAUUCUGUGUUCAGAGUCUGGGCUUCCCUAAGGUACUAUCACUUGGUUAAAUACACAUAUGAAUGAGUUUUAAAGUACACCUUUCCACAAGUCAGCUGUUGCAAAUGUUAUGUUUUUAAGAAAUAUAUUUUAAAAAUGCACAUCAACAGAAGAGGAAUGCUACAUAAAAAGUAUCAUUAAAACUGAACAAGAUGCACAGUGAGCUUUUGCCUAUAUAAAAAAUAUCAACAAUAGACACUGCUUAGUUUUAAAAAAAUACAUUGCAAAAUUAAAAUUGCCAUAUUUACCUGGAAAAUGAUGGUGAAAUUAUAUUUUGAGGAAAUAAAAGACUCUUCAUUUCA